Molecule: long non-coding RNA, 1473 nt
Filed under: Homo sapiens (human)
Lineage: Eukaryota; Metazoa; Chordata; Mammalia; Primates; Hominidae
Description: HSALNT0037003
Source: RNAcentral
GUAGGUUUUAGCAAAGCCAUUAUUGCCAAGGUAUAGAUACCAAAGGCGGUGGUAACCAAACCCCAAACAGAACGGAUUUUUUUCCUCUGCGGCCCCCAAAGGUUGCUUUUUAUAUUUACGUAUGCGUAUAUGUAUAUAUAAAAGAUGGAACACAGAUUUCAUUGAAUCAAUCUGAGAUCUCCAGGUGCAGACGUUUGAAUAGUCGGUGCCAGCACCCCGUGUUUUCCUUUCCUGCCGAUUUUGCUUGGAUCCGGCUCAAAAACCGAGAGAGUCUCGUGGUUUUGUUUACACUGAAUGGGGAGGAUAGGAACAGAGCCAUGGGGCCGCCUUUCAUUAAUAUACAGUGAGGAUUUUGUCUAAAUUACUGCUAUGAAUUUCACAGUACACGCUUUCAAAAGCAGUCUCAGGUGGCCUGAUGAAACGUGAUAGCGCCUCUGCAAACAGAUCCACUUUCUUUCUUUUCAAGAGGGUGUGUGUGCGCGUAUGGGAAGCCCCCCAAAACGUUGUGCUCCUCGAUAACAGAAACACACUUCUGUUCCGAGGUCUGUCCCCUUCUUCCUCCCCCCCUUUCGUCGUACUUAAUUCUCGAAUCGCUCCCCGGCCUCUCUCCCCCCUCCACGCUGCCCCACCCCAUCCGCCCCCUCCCUUUGCGAGUGUGAUUGUUUUGUCUGGAAAAAAAAAAUCCAAAGUAUAUAACAAGGGGAGAACAGUUAGUGCUGAUUUUCAUUUGCAUACAUUUUCAUAUAUUUUGGUGAAAAUAAUAGACUAGUGGAGAGCUGGGCUUCGAGGCGUCAGUGUGAAGGGAAGGCUAAGGACGCAUCGGUGCUGGAGAGUUGAGAAUAUGCCUUCCCCUCCACCCCCAACCCAGUCACCUUAUUUGAAAAAAAAUUAAAAAACACCUUUUAUUUAAAAACCUAACCCUGGAAGUUUGCUCGCUGCCUGAAAAUCAUAUGCGUGGUUUUUCCUGUUUCCUGCUCUGUAGCUGACAUCAGGGGAGCAACGUGAACACAGGAAAAUGGAAAUCAACAUUUGAAACUUUUAAAUGGAAGCUUUAUUGGGGUUCCACAUAUGGAAAACUGCAAAUAGCAGAAGUAUGUGACUCAAUAAAUUAUUCUGGAGUGACCACAUCCUCUAACUGCCUCCCAGGACAAGACGGAGAAUGUGAACAAUGCUCCUGAAGGCCCCUUUCCCUCAAAGAAUCACUGCAAUUGAAGGAAAAAUGCUCCAUGUCCCCUCUGCCAGUUGGUGUUUAUCAAAGGACAACGGAGGAAGAGAGACAAAGUGCCUGGAUGUGUGUGUUAAUCAAGAGUUGUCAGGACCCUGCCUCUAAAAGAAAGCGCUAAAAUGAUGCUUUUGACAAGACUUUUCUCAAAGUGGAUGCAGUCUAAGGGUUGGAAAACAAGGCCCAAUCAGGCUAGGUCUGACUUGUCGCCUGCUUUUGUAAAUAAAGUUUUAUUGGCUCACAGACACACU